GCAGUGGGGAAUAUUGGGCAAUGGGCGCAAGCCUGACCCAGCGACGCCGCGUGAGGGAAGACAGCCUUCGGGUUGUAAACCUCUGUUGCAGGGGAAGAAGGAAGUGACGGUACCCUGCGAGGAAGCUCCGGCUAACUACGUGCCAGCAGCCGCGGUAAUACGUAGGGAGCGAGCGUUGUCCGGAAUUACUGGGCGUAAAGGGCGCGUAGGCGGCGCUUCAAGUCGUCUGUCAAAAGCCGAGGCUCAACCUCGGUGCGCAGACGAAACUGGAGAGCUUGAGAAGCAGAGAGGCAAACAGAAUUCCUGGUGUAGCGGUGAAAUGCGUAGAUAUCAGGAAGAAUACCAGUGGCGAAGGCGGUUUGCUGGCUGCAUACUGACGCUGAAGCGCGAAAGCCAGGGGAGCAAACGGGAUUAGAUACCCU
This 422-nucleotide ribosomal RNA is filed under the name Klebsiella pneumoniae. Its description in RNAcentral is "bacterial SSU rRNA". It matches the Rfam family "Bacterial small subunit ribosomal RNA", at positions 351 to 788 of the family's 1533-position model. Lineage: Bacteria; Pseudomonadati; Pseudomonadota; Gammaproteobacteria; Enterobacterales; Enterobacteriaceae. The record is from RNAcentral.